GACGUAGGGUGCGAGCGUUGUCCGGAUUUAUUGGGCGUAAAGAGCUCGUAGGCGGCUCGUCGCGUCAGCUGUGAAAACCCGCAGCUUAACUGUGGGCUUGCAGCUGAUACGGGCGGGCUAGAGUUCGGUAGGGGAGACUGGAAUUCUUGGUGUAGCGGUGAAAUGCGCAGAUAUCAGGAGGAACACCGGUGGCGAAGGCGGGUCUCUGGGCCGAUACUGACGCUGAGGAGCGAAAGCGUGGGGAGCGAACAGG
Molecule: ribosomal RNA, 253 nt
Filed under: uncultured bacterium
Lineage: Bacteria
Description: partial 16S ribosomal RNA
Rfam family: Bacterial small subunit ribosomal RNA
Source: RNAcentral